CAAAACUGAAACCAAGUCUCCUCCUCUCUACCCCUUAGCAAAUUCCAAACAACACCUCAAAUCUCUCAACCAUCAUGCCUAACGAUCAACUUGAGAUGAAGGCCAUGAAAAAGAAAAAGAAAAAGAAGAGGCAUGGUAUCAUGGGUUAGUAGAAAGUUGGAAUGGGUGGAAUAGGUAAAAAGAGAGGGAAGUGAUGCAUCACGUGAAGAAAACGCAAAGGUUAUAAUUUUUCUUAAUCGUCACAUUCAUGAAUCGUUGAAGAGUGAAUACGUGGCAAUCGAUGACCCAUUGGUUCUGUGGAAAGCCUUAUGCAAAAGAUACAAUCACCAGAAAAUAGUGAUCCUCCCGAGAGCUAGAUAUGAAUGGACACACCUGAGAUUCCAAGAUUUCAAGUUAGUGUCUGAGUACAACCCAUCAAUGCACAAAAUCACCUCCCUGAUGAACUUAUGUGGUGAAAAUAUUUCUAAGGAGGUUAUGCUUGAAAAAACUCUGAGUACCUUUCAUGCCUCAAAUGUGCUCCUGCAGCAAUAUAGACAUAAUGGUUUUACGAAGUACUCAGAACUGGUAUCUUGCCUUUUGUUGGCUGAGCAGAACAAUAAGCUUUUAUUUAAAAAUCACCAAUCUCGCCUAAUAGGCUUAGCACCAUUUCCUGAAGUAAAUGAUGCAUCUCAGGAAGUGAAUGCCACCUCAUCUUGUGGUAGUUCCCACAGACGUGGGCGAGAAGGCAAGUGUGGCCGCUGGCAAGGGAAUAGAAAAGACCGUUGUGCCCUUUCAUAUGGCUUAGGUCCAAGGAGUAAUUCAUCCACGAGCGGCAAAAAUGCAUCCAGGAAUAAGGGGAAAGCGCAGACAAGCCAUGUGCCUAGGUCAUAUGUUCAAACCUCACUUUCGUCAAUAUUAUUUGUAUAAAAAAAGGGCAAUGAUUUCCCCACUCCUAUUUUAUC
This is an RNA transcript of Prunus mume (Japanese apricot), 941 nucleotides long. RefSeq lists it as uncharacterized. The record is from RefSeq and is a predicted model, not a curated record. Lineage: Eukaryota; Viridiplantae; Streptophyta; Magnoliopsida; Rosales; Rosaceae.